GCUCCGUUGGUGAACCAGCGGAGGGAUCAUUACAGGAUCGAAAGACUCCUAUAACCCCUGUGAACUUACUACAAAUACGUUGCUUCGGCGGGUGCCCCGGGUCUCCCGGGGCGUUCAGCCCGCCGGCAGCCUUCAAAUUCUGUUUCUUUGCGUUGGCAUCUCGAGUAUACAAAAAUAAGUUAAAACUUUCAACAACGGAUCUCUUGGUUCUC
This 212-nucleotide unclassified non-coding RNA is filed under the name plant metagenome. RNAcentral describes it as "partial contains small subunit ribosomal RNA, internal transcribed spacer 1, and 5.8S ribosomal RNA". The record is from RNAcentral.